RNAcentral lists this ribosomal RNA (180 nucleotides) under uncultured Glomeromycotina. RNAcentral describes it as "partial small subunit ribosomal RNA". Lineage: Eukaryota; Fungi; Glomeromycota. The record is from RNAcentral.
GGCCUGGCUGGGCGGUCCGCUUCACGGCGUGUACUGUCUGGCUGGGUCUUACUUCUUGGUGAACCGGCGUGCCCUUUACUGGUGUGCGUCGGGGAACCAGGACUUUUACCUUGAGAAAAUUAGAGUGUUCAAAGCAGGCCUAUGUCCGAAUACAUUAGCAUGGAAUAAUAAAAUAGGACG